RNAcentral lists this ribosomal RNA (253 nucleotides) under uncultured bacterium. RNAcentral's name for it is "partial 16S ribosomal RNA". It matches the Rfam family "Bacterial small subunit ribosomal RNA", at positions 524 to 776 of the family's 1533-position model. The record is from RNAcentral.
UACGUAGGGGGCAAGCGUUGUCCGGAAUCAUUGGGCGUAAAGCGCGCGUAGGCGGCCCGGUAAGUCCGCUCUGAAAGUCCAGGGCUUAACCCUGGAAAGCGGGUGGAUACUGCCGGGCUUGAAUCCGGAAGAGGCGAGUGGAAUUCCUGGUGUAGCGGUGAAAUGCGCAGAUAUCAGGAGGAACACCAAUUGCGAAGGCAGCUCGCUGGGACGUUACUGACGCUGAGACGCGAAAGCGUGGGGAGCAAACAGG